CAAGUCUUAGAUAUGUAUAAAGAAUUUGGGUGUCUCAAGUAAAUGAAGCUUUAAAGAAGACAAAAAUAGGUAAAGCAAUAGGUCCAAAUGGUUUUAUUUAUAGUAGAAGUA
Long non-coding RNA from Telopea speciosissima, 111 nucleotides. RefSeq lists it as uncharacterized. The record is from RefSeq and is a predicted model, not a curated record. NCBI's taxonomy places the organism in Eukaryota, Viridiplantae, Streptophyta, Magnoliopsida, Proteales, Proteaceae. The transcript is spliced from 3 exons.